GCAGGAAAAUAUUAAAAAUAAUGAUAAUUAUAGUAAAUAUUAAAAAUUACAAAAAAAAUCCAGCAGGUGUAGAAGUAUUCAAAUCAGAAAAAAUUUUGAUAGAAAAUUUUUAUACUAUUUACAACAAGAUCAACAUCUCAGAUCGAAAAUUUAGUACUAUGUCAUAACUUUUUGUGAGAUUUUUAUUUUCAACGUUGAUUUUGAGUCAUUUUGAUCAAUAGGUAAAUUUAGUUUCACGCCUU
This 242-nucleotide long non-coding RNA is filed under the name Ananas comosus (pineapple). RNAcentral's name for it is "long non-coding RNA (ACOM_LNC042775)". Lineage: Eukaryota; Viridiplantae; Streptophyta; Magnoliopsida; Poales; Bromeliaceae. The record is from RNAcentral.